UUAGAUUUAAGUUUCUUUUUUAGAUUACACCCAAACACACAAAAAAACCCUAGCACCUCAAAUCGUUCUCUCAGCUCCUCUCUGUCGUCGGACAUUGCAGCCAUUGUAUACCUCAAAUCCCUCUCUACCACCACCAGAUAAUGUUGAAGGCAGCUGUUGACGGUUUUUACGGCGGAGUAGCUGGUCAUCUGGCUCACUUUUGUAAGGUAGAAAAGCUCAAGGGAAGAAGCGUCCUUGUGUCUCUGCAUCAACAGCAACUACUGGUAGAAAAGCUAAAGGGAAGAAGCGUCCUUGUGUCUCUGCAUCAACAACUACUGGUAGAAAAGCUCAAGUCAAAGGGAAGCGCCCUUGUGUUGUUGGGAAUCCAUCUACUGGUUACGUUCAUCACUCUUAUAAGUGCUUGAAGAGGAAGCGCUCGAUAUAGAGCCUCAUCUCUUCUGGUUUCAGAAACCAGGCGUUGUAUCAGCAUACCGUGCUUCUGGCCCCGAAGAAGGAGAAGAAGAACCUCCAGGGAGCCCUACUUUAUGAAUCUGUCAGACUAUGAAUCUUAUCAUCGUAACACUGUUAAGACCGUCUAUCACUGGGAGGGACCAAUGGAUGAGCGAGGUCGUGUGGUUGAAAAAGUACCCUGGUGGGCUCGUGAAGAGGCUCAUGAACGCGCUAAGAUGCUCCGUGCGGACCCUCCCAAGACUCGGUCACAAACAGUAUAUACACCUUUCAUUAUUUUGUUAAAUCAAUGCCAUAGUUCUGGUCUUUCUCAUGAUCAUUUAUUACUAGUAUGUAAUUAUAUUUACGGUGACAAUUUUUAGGCUGCAACUUUGAAGUGAUAGGGGGAUCCGGCUGGACCCUGCACUCGUUUGGGCUGGGUUGUAACUUGGGUCUUCAACAUUCUCCGGCGAUGAGACAGCUCCGGUCUUUGGCUUUCUCGGUGCCGCAGCUGCCCUAGUUUUCUCCUGUAAGUUAAUCCAAUCAUUUCGAUGCGUUCAAUUUGUAAAUUGACUGAUCUAAUAUCGAGAUCGAUUUGGAAAGAUC
Helianthus annuus (common sunflower) is the source of this 1032-nucleotide long non-coding RNA. RefSeq lists it as uncharacterized. NCBI's taxonomy places the organism in Eukaryota, Viridiplantae, Streptophyta, Magnoliopsida, Asterales, Asteraceae. The transcript is spliced from 8 exons. The record is from RefSeq and is a predicted model, not a curated record.